RNAcentral lists this ribosomal RNA (426 nucleotides) under uncultured Oscillospiraceae bacterium. RNAcentral describes it as "bacterial SSU rRNA". It matches the Rfam family "Bacterial small subunit ribosomal RNA", at positions 355 to 794 of the family's 1533-position model. The record is from RNAcentral. Lineage: Bacteria; Bacillati; Bacillota; Clostridia; Eubacteriales; Oscillospiraceae.
UGGGGAAUAUUGGGCAAUGGGGGAAACCCUGACCCAGCAACGCCGCGUGAAGGAAGAAGGCCUUCGGGUUGUAAACUUCUUUUACCAGGGACGAAGGACGUGACGGUACCUGGAGAAAAAGACAACGGCUAACUACGUGCCAGCAGCCGCGGUAAUACGUAGGUUGCAAGCGUUGUCCGGAUUUACUGGGUGUAAAGGGCGUGUAGGCGGAGGAGCAAGUCAGAUGUGAAAUCCCGGGGCUUAACCCCGGAACUGCAUUUGAAACUGUUUCCCUUGAGUAUCGGAGAGGCAAGCGGAAUUCCUAGUGUAGCGGUGAAAUGCGUAGAUAUUAGGAGGAACACCAGUGGCGAAGGCGGCUUGCUGGACGACAACUGACGCUGAGGCGCGAAAGCGUGGGGAGCAAACAGGAUUAGAUACCCUGGUAGU